GGAGGACAAUAUUUGUGUGUUGGAUGCAUCUGGCAAUAUAUGGAUCAGGAAAUAAAGCAGAUAUUAUACAAGCCAGACUUCAUCAUUGUUGAGCAUGAGGCUGAAACGAUGAGCUGCAUGAUUGGUCUCCAUUUAGUGUGCAUUUCUGAACUCUGAAUGAUGAGUUUCCUUCUUAGUUUUUGUUGUUCAAUAUAGAGUUUUGCCGAUUUGGGCCAUACUCAGUACACUGUAACAUGCCUCUCUCCGACCACGUCUGCUUGACAUGGGAGCUUGCUACCAUUAAUGAACAUACGGGAGGUUGCUAGCAUCAAUGAAAGAGGCUGGCUGUAAUUGUCCGUGCUCUGUGAUGUUGAGUUAUCCAAGCUGUCUGCCUUAUUGAGGAUUGCAAAAAUAAGUGUCAGCAAGACUUCAGUGGGAAAGGUUUCCCCCCAUGAUCAGUGGGUCGCUGCUGAUUUGAUCCUGGUGAAGUGUGUUGGGCUAGGAGGGGGGCGGUGACAUUGAUGCUUACUUGAGGAUAAAGAUCGCUUGAGAACGGAUAGAAGAGCUGAUGCAUGCAAGAUAAUAGUAGCUUGCCAAGGUGAGCCCAAUCUUCUUGGUUCUGUUACUAGCCGUUGCAAGAUUAUUAGCAUUGGUAUGACCAAUACACAUGAGGCAAAUACAAUGUAAGGCUUCACACCAGACAAUUCCAUUGAUAAUUUCAGAGGACGGUUGAAGGAAGGUUCAGUUUACAUGUUUGAGAUGUUCAACGUGAUUCAUAUUUUCCGUCUCAUGUACAUGGGCUUGCUUCUUCGCUGGCGUGGUAUUAUGUGCUUUCGGAUUUACCAUCUGGUCUGCAUUGAGAUGGGCAUGAAUGCGUGAUGUUUGGGUCACUGUCUCUUGGAGCUUUCUUUCAUUCUCCAUCAACCUGGUCAUGUUGUUAUUUCCGAUUAGAUUUCCUCUGGGCUGUCGUUUUAUUUUGGGUUCCACCUCAUGAUUUGUUGCCAAAAAUAUAAAACCAAGUUAGCUCCUAUUAGUCCCUCUUUUUAAAUGAAAAUCUGUUGUCACCCA
Molecule: long non-coding RNA, 1047 nt
Organism: Lolium perenne
Lineage: Eukaryota; Viridiplantae; Streptophyta; Magnoliopsida; Poales; Poaceae
Source: RefSeq, a predicted model, not a curated record